This 1428-nucleotide long non-coding RNA is filed under the name Prunus dulcis (almond). Its description in RNAcentral is "sRNA ncRNA". The record is from RNAcentral. Lineage: Eukaryota; Viridiplantae; Streptophyta; Magnoliopsida; Rosales; Rosaceae.
GUGUGUGAUGCACUUGAUAAAUUAAAUCGAAAUUUUUUUUGGGGUGGGAGUGAGAAAAUGAGCAGGGUCCAUCUUUGUCAGUGGGAUCUUGUUUGUAGGCCUAAGAGUAAAGGGGGGUUGGGCUUUAAAAAAACUGGUGCUAUGAAUCAAGCUUUGUUAGCCAAGAUUGGUUGGAGGUUGCAUAUUAAGGAUGAAGGAUUGUGGGCAAAGAUUUAUGAGGCUAAAUACCUUAAAGGCCAUUCUAUUCUUGAUGAUUCUGUGAUUUUUAGGCAGGAUUGUUCUUCUACAUGGAGAGGUGUGCUACAUGGGGCUGCUCUUCUAAGGAAGGGUAUGUUAUGGAGAAUUGGGGAUGGUGGUACUGUUAGUUUUUGGAAGGAUAAUUGGGUUUUUGAUGCUCCUUUAAACCAAAAUGAUAGUUGUGUGCAUAUUUGUGACCCAGAUUCUGUUAUUUCCAGUUUUUACAAAAAUGGUUGGUGGGAUAUGGAGAAACUAAGGGCUGCUUUACCUAAUGAUCUGGUCCAACGAGUUAUUAGCUAUCCUGUGGGGUUUAAUAGUGGGAUUCAGGAUGCUCAAAUUUGGAAGUUUUCUCCCAAUGGGAUUUUCUCUGUAAAAUCUGCUUAUAAUAUGCUUUUUGAGGGUUGCUCUGAUGUUGAUUGGAAGUUUUUGUGGAAGCUUAAGAUUCCUCCCAAGUUGCAUAUUUUCUUUUGGCUUGUUUUUCAAGGAAAAAUUCUUUCUAAUGAGCAAAGAGCUAGAAGACAGCUGUCUUUGGAUGCUUCUUGUGGUUCUUGUCACUGGCCUGUGGAGUCUGUUCUUCAUAUUCUUCGUGAUUGUGUUAAGGCUAGGAAGGUGUGGAAUGCUCUUCUUAAUUCUAGUCAAAGUGCUGGAUUUUUUACUAUGGACUUUCAGCCUUGGCUUAAAGUAAACUUGAUGUCGAAGAUUGUUUGGGCUGAUGGUUUUCCCUGGAAUUUGGUUUUUGUUUUCACAUGUUGGUACAUAUGGAAAUGGAGGAAUUUCUAUGUGUUUCAUGGUGAUGAAGAAUUGGCUUUUGACUCUAUACAGAUUAUUACUGCUGCUGUGAAGGAAUGGUUUAAAGCUUCUAUUGUUUCUUCUAUCAAGUGUGCUAAGGUUGAGGCUUGGUUUGCUUGGGAACCUCCUCCUGCUGGGGUCUUUAAACUGAAUGUUGAUGGCUCUAGGAAAGUUGCUUCUGGCCAUAUUGGUGCUGGAGGUGUGCUGCGUGAUGUUUCUGGUGAUUGGUGUAGUGGUUUUGCAAUUAAUUUGGGAAAAGGGCAGAUUCUAGAGGCUGAAUUAUGGGGCUUGUUUUUUGGUCUGAGGAUGGCUGUUGAGAAAGGGUUUAAUAACCUUAUCGUUGAGAUGGAUUCGGCUGUUGCUAUCCAGCUUGUUCAGCAGCAUGAUUUUCUUACUUUGCAC